AGGUGAUUAGUUUAAUAGGAACGUCUAUUUUGAAAAUAGAAAGUAAAAAUUAUUUUUAUUACCUU
Molecule: transfer RNA, 65 nt
Filed under: Heterodoxus macropus (wallaby louse)
Lineage: Eukaryota; Metazoa; Arthropoda; Insecta; Psocodea; Boopidae
Description: tRNA-Ser
Source: RNAcentral